Long non-coding RNA from Epinephelus fuscoguttatus (brown-marbled grouper), 304 nucleotides. RefSeq lists it as uncharacterized. The transcript has 5 exons. Lineage: Eukaryota; Metazoa; Chordata; Actinopteri; Perciformes; Serranidae. The record is from RefSeq and is a predicted model, not a curated record.
AACAAAAUGGCGGCCGUCUUGUCACAACUGACGUCGAAUACAGUUAAACGAUGCUGAUACAAGUUGCCCUCCAGAAUGCAUAGAACAAUCAAACUUUUCAAAUCAUAAGACAGAAAGAGAACAGUCAGCGUCAACGAGCACCACACCGAGCCACCCCGCUGCCCCAUAGAGUGCAGAUCAGUGUGGUGACAGGCCCAAUAUCCACUGCAGAUUCCUCUCUUUCUCCAGUCAAGUGGCGCUGAACGAGCCCUUCAAAGACAAUAAACGCUGCGGACCGAGGUCGUAUCAAUAUCAUAGGAGCCAG